UACGAAGGGGGCUAGCGUUGCUCGGAAUCACUGGGCGUAAAGGGUGCGUAGGCGGGUCUUUAAGUCAGGGGUGAAAUCCUGGAGCUCAACUCCAGAACUGCCUUUGAUACUGAAGAUCUUGAGUUCGGGAGAGGUGAGUGGAACUGCGAGUGUAGAGGUGAAAUUCGUAGAUAUUCGCAAGAACACCAGUGGCGAAGGCGGCUCACUGGCCCGAUACUGACGCUGAGGCACGAAAGCGUGGGGAGCGAACGGG
This 253-nucleotide ribosomal RNA is filed under the name uncultured bacterium. RNAcentral's name for it is "partial 16S ribosomal RNA". It matches the Rfam family "Bacterial small subunit ribosomal RNA", at positions 524 to 776 of the family's 1533-position model. The record is from RNAcentral.